CCUCUGCCUGGUUACAGGACGCUGUUGAAAGAGGGGACAGAGGGCACUUUGUGGGACUUGGUCAAAAACCAGGAAAGUACAGUUGCCCGUUGGACAUGUGGUAAGACAGACAGACACUCAUCCCACCUGCCCCACUUAAUGCCUGUGGUCCAUCAGGACCGUCUGUCUGUCUUUACAGAGCAGGUCUGAGCUUGUAGCCUUUGCCUGUAUACCUAGAGGCCCUCAUGACUGUGUCCAGACACAAAGGCAUAAUGCAAGACCAGAUCAAGCUCUGCAAGUCGGAACUGGGCUGGGAACUCGGGGACCCUUUGGUUCUGACCUCCCCAACCUCUCCAUCGCAUACAAACUGAUCAACAGGACACGUAAUGGAAUGGACUGGCAUUUCCAGACUCUUAUCCCUGAGCCUGACAAAAUUGACCUCUUUGGUCGUAGAGUGUCUAUCCUCUUAGCCCCCAUUGCCAUGGCAACCCCAGGGCCGUCAAAACAACCAACGAAAUCCAAGUGCCUUUAGAGUUAUUAAAAGACAGGAGGGGUGCACUCCCGGCAGGGUUAGAGUUCACAGUGUCAGUACAUUAUUACAUUGGAGUUCCCCAGUCCCAACAACCUCCAUCCUCACAUGCUGUGUUCGACUGAAAUCCAAUUAAACAAGUUGAUUUAAUACAAAA
RNAcentral lists this long non-coding RNA (665 nucleotides) under Rattus norvegicus (Norway rat). Its description in RNAcentral is "long non-coding RNA NONRATT025544". The record is from RNAcentral. Lineage: Eukaryota; Metazoa; Chordata; Mammalia; Rodentia; Muridae.